AAUAAGCAACAAAAACAAUAAAAAGCAACAACAAAAAAUCUGGGGAGGGGAAAGAAUAUGAAAACCUCGUCUCUACUAAAAUUACAAAAAUUAGCCGGGUGUGGUGGUGGGUUUGCAAGAGGCAGUGAAGGCAGCCAGUUCAGGCUGAAACAGGCUUCACAGACUUACACAACUGGCAGAGAGGUUAGCAAGUAGAAAGUAUGAGUAUGCAGUAAGUAUACAGACAACUAUACAAAUGAAACUAAAACAGUUAUUAACUCCAGGAAAAACAAAAAGUUGUAAGAAAAAGGUAAUCAUAGUUUACCAAAUAUUAAUAGUGAACUGUAAAUAGCUGCGAAAUGGACAAAGAAAAUUGUUGCUUGAAUGGGAUUACUACUCUUGCUAUUUAAGUCAUUUAGGUGAUCUCACUAAGGCAUUUUCCUCACCACGUAUUUCUUAGAGAUAUAAUUAAUCGUAUUCUUCUCAACAUACUCUCUUGGUGAACAAACCCUUAUGAAGACAUUUUUAAUUUAGAACUAAAUCCAAUUUUGGAAAGCAUUAAGCAAAUUUUACAAUAUUGUAAUAGUCCUAUGGAAGCUUGCUAAGUUGAAAAAUCUAUGCUCACAAAAUUACUAAAAAAUCUAUAAUGAUGUAAGAGAAGUCUCGACUAUUCAAGUAAUCCAGUCACCCACGUGGAGCCACAUAUAGCAGAUACUGAAGUUCUCUGAUACCAUAAAAGCCUCAUUCCAUUUGGGCACAAAAACAAAGGUGGUAACUGGAGCCUCUGCCCCUCAGAGUUCUAGAUCUUAGGUAAC
RNAcentral lists this long non-coding RNA (794 nucleotides) under Homo sapiens (human). Its description in RNAcentral is "non-protein coding lnc-TSN-10:1". Lineage: Eukaryota; Metazoa; Chordata; Mammalia; Primates; Hominidae. The record is from RNAcentral.